Molecule: ribosomal RNA, 497 nt
Filed under: uncultured bacterium
Lineage: Bacteria
Description: partial 16S ribosomal RNA
Rfam family: Bacterial small subunit ribosomal RNA
Source: RNAcentral
GACGAACGCUGGCGGCGUGCCUAAUACAUGCAAGUCGAGCGAACAGACCAGGAGCUUGCUCCUCUGACGUUAGCGGCGGACGGGUGAGUAACACGUGGAUAACCUACCUAUAAGACUGGGAUAACUUCGGGAAACCGGAGCUAAUACCGGAUAAUAUAUUGCACUGCAUUGUUCAAUAGUGGAAGACGGUUUUGCUGUCACUUAUAGAUGGACCCGCGCCGCAUUAGCUAGUGGGUAAGGUAACGGCUUACCAAGGCAACGAUGCUUAGCCGACCCGAGGGGGUGGACGGACACACGGUAUGAGAGGCAGGGUCGAGACUCCGGCAGUAGGAAGCAGUAGGGAAUCUUCCGGAAUGGACGAGAGCGUGACGGUGCAACGCGGCGGGAGGCAUGAAGGGCUUCGGAUCGUAGAACGCUGUUAUUAGGAGAGAACUAAUGUGUAAGUAACUGUGCACGUCUUGACGGUACCGGGUCAGAAAGCCACGGCUAACUACGUG